CGCUGGCGGCGUGCCUAACACAUGCAAAGUCGAACGGAGUGUUUCGCUGAUUUGACACCAGCUUGCUGGGAGAUUUUCUUGAAACACUUAGUGGCGGACGGGUGAGUAACGCGUGAGUAACCUACCUUACAGAGGGGGACAACAGUUGGAAACGACUGCUAAUACCGCAUAACAUAGCGAAGAGGCAUCUCUUUGUUAUCAAAGGAGCAAUCCGCUGUAAGAUGGACUCGCGUCCAAUUAGAUAGUUGGUGGGGUAAAGGCCUACCAAGUCGACGAUUGGUAGCCGGACUGAGAGGUUGAACGGCCACAUUGGGACUGAGACACGGCCCAGACUCCUACGGGAGGCAGCAGUGGGGGAUAUUGCACAAUGGGGGAAACCCUGAUGCAGCAACGCCGCGUGAGGGAAGAAGGUUUUCGGAUCGUAAACUUUUGUCAUCGGGGACGAGAAUGGACGGUACCCGAGAAGGAAGCCACGGCUAACUACGUG
Molecule: ribosomal RNA, 487 nt
Filed under: uncultured bacterium
Lineage: Bacteria
Description: bacterial SSU rRNA
Rfam family: Bacterial small subunit ribosomal RNA
Source: RNAcentral